UAUAUGUUGUAUAUAUAAAUCCUAGAUAUGAAAAUAUGUGAAAUUUGUCCAUGAAAAUGAAAAAAAGGGGUAUAGAUAUAAGAAAAAGGGAUAGGUUGAGUGCAUAAAUGGAUAUGCUAAAAUACAAAAUGAAAUAAGAGCUAAUGAGAUAGAAAUAAUGAAUCGUAAAUAAAGUUCAGGUUUGAAUUCCCUACCCUCCUCCU
Molecule: long non-coding RNA, 203 nt
Filed under: Carica papaya (papaya)
Lineage: Eukaryota; Viridiplantae; Streptophyta; Magnoliopsida; Brassicales; Caricaceae
Description: long non-coding RNA (CPAP_LNC011921)
Source: RNAcentral